This 440-nucleotide ribosomal RNA is filed under the name uncultured bacterium. RNAcentral describes it as "partial 16S ribosomal RNA". It matches the Rfam family "Bacterial small subunit ribosomal RNA", at positions 338 to 795 of the family's 1533-position model. The record is from RNAcentral.
CCUACGGGCGGCAGCAGUGGGGAAUAUUGCACAAUGGGCGCAACCCUGAAGCAGCCAAGCCGCGUGAGUGAUGACGUAUUUAGGUAUGUAAAGCCCUAUCAGCAGGGAAGAAAAUGACGGUACCUGAUUAAGACGCCCAGGCGAAAUACGUGCCAGCAGCCGCGGUAAUACGGAGGGGGCCAGCGUGAUCCGGAUUUACUGGGUGUAAUGGGAGCGUAGGCGGCAGAACAAGUCUGGAGUGAAAUGCCGGGGAUUAACCCCGGAACUGCCUUGGAAACUGUGCAGCUAGAGUGCAGGAGAGGUAAGUGGAAUGCGUAGUGUAGCGGUGAAAUGCAUAGAUAGUAGGAGGAACACCAGUGGCGAAGGCGGCUUACUGGACUUUAACUGACGUUGAUGCUCGAAAGCGUGGGUAGCAAACAGGAUUAGAUACCCGAGUAGUC